This is a non-coding RNA of Gekko japonicus, 72 nucleotides long. The record is from the annotation of a RefSeq genome assembly. NCBI's taxonomy places the organism in Eukaryota, Metazoa, Chordata, Lepidosauria, Squamata, Gekkonidae.
GGGACUGUGGCUCAGUGGUAGAGCAUCUGCUUUACACGCAGAAGGUCCCGGGUUCAGUCCCAGGCAUUUCCA